This 72-nucleotide transfer RNA is filed under the name Ovis aries (sheep). It matches the Rfam family "tRNA". Rfam says of the family: Transfer RNA (tRNA) molecules are approximately 80 nucleotides in length. Their secondary structure includes four short double-helical elements and three loops (D, anti-codon, and T loops). Further hydrogen bonds mediate the characteristic L-shaped molecular structure. tRNAs have two regions of fundamental functional importance: the anti-codon, which is responsible for specific mRNA codon recognition, and the 3' end, to which the tRNAs corresponding amino acid is attached (by aminoacyl-tRNA synthetases). tRNAs cope with the degeneracy of the genetic code in two manners: having more than one tRNA (with a specific anti-codon) for a particular amino acid; and 'wobble' base-pairing, i.e. permitting non-standard base-pairing at the 3rd anti-codon position. Lineage: Eukaryota; Metazoa; Chordata; Mammalia; Artiodactyla; Bovidae. The record is from Rfam by way of RNAcentral.
UCCCCGGUGGCUCAGAUGGUAAAGCGUCUGCCUACAACGCGGGAGACCCAGGUUCGAUCCCUGGGUCAGGAA